This 367-nucleotide ribosomal RNA is filed under the name uncultured bacterium. RNAcentral describes it as "bacterial SSU rRNA". It matches the Rfam family "Bacterial small subunit ribosomal RNA", at positions 335 to 697 of the family's 1533-position model. The record is from RNAcentral.
ACUCCUACGGGAGGCAGCAGUGGGGAAUAUUGCACAAUGGGGGAAACCCUGAUGCAGCCAUGCCGCGUGUGUGAAGAAGGCCUUGGGUUGUAAAGCACUUUCAGUAGGGAGGAAGGUAGUGUAGUUAACACCUGCAUUAUUUGACGUUACCUACAGAAGAAGCACCGGCUAACUCCGUGCCAGCAGCCGCGGUAAUACGGAGGGUGCGAGCGUUAAUCGGAAUUACUGGGCGUAAAGCGCAUGCAGGCGGCCUGUUAAGUCAGAUGUGAAAGCCCGGGGCUUAACCUCGGAAUUGCAUUUGAAACUGGCAGGCUAGAGUCUUGUAGAGGGGUAGAAUUUCAGGUGUAGCGGUGAAAUGCGUAGAGAU